CCUAACUCUAAACGCUACCGUUGCCGCGAAUCUUUUUCGUUCCACCACUAUCGACAAACAGUGUGUACACACUACCGCAAAACAGCAAAAAAGCAGCAUGGGGUCCUUUCCUCCUUCAGUUUGAUUUUCGACUGCACCCCCCGCUGAUCCAAUAAAUGUGGUUGCAACCGAGGGGUUGUCUUCUAUAAGGAAUAAACAUGAAAAAUAGCAAUCGCAAUUUAGAAUUUAUAAUUUUGUCAGCCAAAAUGCGAAACCCAGCAGCAGUCUGUUAGCUGUUUCUGUGGCUAAGGGUUCUAGAGUUUCAGUUCGUUCCGUUCCACUCGGUUGGGCACCCUCUACUUCCCCCCCCAACCGAUUUGUUCCGACAAUUUGUAAUGGGAAAUCAAUAAGCUGUGGCCCCCCAUUAAAUGCAUGUAAGUCACGUAAAUGUAAUAGAUAUGAUAGAUAUUUGGAGCGCAUUUCCACUUCCUGAAUUAAUCAUUUCAACCGGAGAACACAUCUCCUUUUCUGCAACAUCUCAAAUCGAAUUUUUCCAGGUGGAGGAUCUUCUCAUGACAAGGCAAAAAGAGACGUAUAUAUAUAUUUUUGUUAGUUUUUCUAUUGAAUCAACGAUGUGGUAGUGCCUGCUGUCUGGCUCAAAGUCGAUGUCGAUCAAUAAAUUAACAUGCACAUUUGCAUUUAAUUAAAUUUCAA
Molecule: long non-coding RNA, 693 nt
Organism: Drosophila miranda
Lineage: Eukaryota; Metazoa; Arthropoda; Insecta; Diptera; Drosophilidae
Exons: 2
Source: RefSeq, a predicted model, not a curated record